CUCACUUUUUUUUCCACAUAAAUAUUUUCCCUUUCUUCCCCCUCUCUUCAUAAUCUCUCGAUGUGGGAGUUUUUCAACAUCUCAUCAAAGAUGAAAGCCAGACACAAAUUUCCACAGCGAGGAGGUCUGCUUGAAAGCAGAGGCCGAAAUGGAAGCUCAGAAAGCGAUCAGAGCUGGAGCUUUGUGAUGUUGUUUGGUGAUGGUUGAUGUGAACUGGGCGCUAUCCUAGCUGAGCUUUUUCAUUCUUUUUUUUUUUUUGUUUUUUUUUUCAUUUCGUUUCCUUUUUCGUCAAAUUCUUUUCUUUCUUUCUUGACCUUGUAAGACCUUUUCUUGACCUUGUAAGAUGUCACGCCGGGUCUGUUGUCUUCGUUUGUUGUUUUGGUCCAAGCUCUGUGUGAGAAUUAUCUCAUGUAGAGCUUGGCCAGCGUUCCUCCUUGUUGCCGCCCAACUCAUCUUCUCCUUCCUUGUCUAUCCCUCCUGAGCUGUUCCACAAUUAUUUGAUGAAGUUAAUUAUAUGAAGCCCACCAUAGCAAAUUUCCAUAAAACUCAAGGACCUGUUUGCAACAAACACUAUCUCAACUCAAGCUUGGUUCAUGCAAUUAAAUUCCACUUGGGUCAGGGAAAUGCUGAUUGUGUGUGUGUGUGUGGUCCUCCAUGUGUCAUUAUAGAAAAAGAAUAAAAAUGCAAAUUACCCUAAUAUAUAUUUAUUAUUAUCACUUCCUGCUACUAGCCUCCUCUGCUGUUACUAUUAUUCUGUUAAAAGAACCAUCAAUUUCAAUAUUGUAUUAUUGGAUAUGCAGAAAUAUGCUGUUGCAGACAGAGAGAGAGAGAGAGAGAGAGAGAGAGAGAGAGAGAGAGAGGCAUCAGUUUCGUUGUUUUAUAUGUUGUUGGCUGAGAAAGUAGGAGAAUAUAUUUUCUCUCAGAUCUCUGUAAGAAGAGUUGAACUCGUGACUGCUCUGCUCCAUUGUACAAAAUAUAUCUAUCCACUGUAUUAUUAUUAUUGGAGAGUGGAGACCCGCUUUCUCCUUUUUCUUCUCUAAA
Long non-coding RNA from Prunus persica (peach), 1041 nucleotides. RefSeq lists it as uncharacterized. Lineage: Eukaryota; Viridiplantae; Streptophyta; Magnoliopsida; Rosales; Rosaceae. The record is from RefSeq and is a predicted model, not a curated record. The transcript has 2 exons.